CUUUGCCACCAUGGCCAGUGCAUCAACACCGUGGGCUCCUUCCGCUGCCACUGCGACCUCGGCUACACCCUGGACAUCACCGGGACCCUCUGCCAGGACCUGGACGAGUGCAGCCAGUCCCCCAAACCCUGCAAUUUCAUCUGCAAGAAUUCAAAGGGGAGUUUCCAGUGUUCCUGCCCCCGAGGGUACAUCCUGCAGGAAGAUGGCAAGACAUGCAAAGAUUUGGAUGAGUGUUCCACGAAGCAGCACAAUUGUCAGUUCCUUUGCGUGAACGUCAUUGGAGGCUUCAACUGCAAAUGCCCCCCGGGAUUCACACAGCACCAUUCUUCCUGCAUCGGUGAGUGA
RNAcentral lists this long non-coding RNA (345 nucleotides) under Naja naja (Indian cobra). RNAcentral describes it as "lncRNA (ENSNNAG00000002915.1)". Lineage: Eukaryota; Metazoa; Chordata; Lepidosauria; Squamata; Elapidae. The record is from RNAcentral.